This 341-nucleotide long non-coding RNA is filed under the name Gossypium barbadense (sea-island cotton). Its description in RNAcentral is "long non-coding RNA (GBAR_LNC004493)". Lineage: Eukaryota; Viridiplantae; Streptophyta; Magnoliopsida; Malvales; Malvaceae. The record is from RNAcentral.
GCAAUUUCAACAUAAUUAGAAGGUAGCAUCUUUUAUGCCAACAUUAUUUUAGGACAGAACACUCUGUCUACACAUAACAAGUGGCACACAGAGCUGUGAACAUGUUGAAGCAUGCCUUUCGAGUGUAAGCAAUGUAAUAAUAUUAUAUACUAGAUCAUAAAAGAUUACCAUGAGACUUCCUUCUUAGUUUUCUGAUCACAUAAUGGUGGACGUUUUGUUCUGUCGUGUGCAUAACAGGAAUAUGAGGAAGGCUUUUGAUAUAUUACAAGCCCAAUUUCAGUUGAAUCAAAAUUGUCACGUUUAGCCACAACCUUCCAGCAGAUUGAUUGUGUCAAAGCCAC